Long non-coding RNA from Mus musculus (house mouse), 1007 nucleotides. RefSeq annotates it as predicted gene, 52364. The record is from RefSeq and is a predicted model, not a curated record. Lineage: Eukaryota; Metazoa; Chordata; Mammalia; Rodentia; Muridae. The transcript is spliced from 4 exons.
AGAAAUGAAAGAGUGGCCGUCUCCUGACAGCCCAGUCUCAGGCAGCUCCUGCUGCCUUGGCCUGUAUCUGUAAACACCCGACUUUUCUGCCUUGGUGUUUCAAGCUGAGCUAGGGCUGGGUGUGCUUCAGUGCCAGGUGCCUUGAACUGUGGUCACACUUUUGUCACCAGCACUCCGCCUUCCUUUCAACCGUCUCACAGGAUCACCCGCUGCCAGUCUGCUCCCUGCAUUGUUUUGACUUCUGUGUGGAGGCUUGUUGCUUUGAUGGGACCUUCCUUCACUUCUGUUCACUUUCAAGUCCCAGGGAGUCCAAGGCACUGCCAAUACAAUUACUGCUCUUGUGGAGAUGAGGACUGGAGGGAUGAGGAACUUUCCAAAGCUCAAUGUGAAGUCUGUGAGUCUCCUGGGCUGGCUGCUGUGGUAUUCUCGUCUUCGUGGAGACCUUGAAUCGCUGCCCUCACCUCUGCAAUUCGUUGGCCACUUUAUAGACAAGUACACACUGGUUUUUAUUGUUCCUGCUGAUCCAGGUGGCAAUGAGUUUAUGAUUCCUGUGUUACACAGUCCUGUGAUCUGGCUGGGGAAUUGCUUGCUAAAGGUCACUACAAGGGGGCGUUGCUGGGUGUGGUCGUCUACCACUCCCAGUGCCUUUAGAGGCUGGGUGGGAAAGCUGCUUAGAUAAAUUCAAUUCCACACAAUUCAACAAAUGUUAACUUGAGCUUCUUCUGCACUGUAAGAGCUAGGAAUCUGAAACAGAAGCAGGCUGUUUCCUGUUCAAGUCCGCCUGGUGCAGGACAGUAACAACUAUGAGGCAACUGGAGUUCAAGAAGCAAACCACCACCAGCUGGAUUCCCCAACAAACAGACGAAGAUUUGAAAGGUACUAUGUGGAGCUACAUUAAUAAUAAAGGAACUGAAAAAAAAGAGCUAAGAUAUAAAGACAUGAUUUUUAAGAUGGAUAGAGAAGAGUCUGGGAAGAUUUCUUUGAAUCUUUGAAGAAAAUGAGUGACU